GGGGGGCAACAUGUGCCCCAUGGUGUCCUGCAUCCCACAGCAUCCCACAGCUCCACAGACCCCACAGCAUCCCAUGGUACCACGGACCCCACAGCAUCCCACAGCAUCCCAUGGUACCACAGACCCCACAGCAUCCCACAUCCCCCAGCACCGCCUGCCCCAGCACCACGUAUCCCACAAGGCACAGCACCAUCUGCCCCACGCCAUCCCCCAUCCCUGUCUGUCCCACGGCAUCCUGCAGCCCCCUUCAUCCCACUGCAUCCCCCUGCAUCCCCCUAUAUCCCACUGCCUUCUGCACGCCACAGCAUCCUGUAUCCCAUUGCCAAGGAUCCCGCAGCAUCCCAUAUCCCUUGCCACCACAGCAUCCUGCAUCCCAGUACCAUGGACUCCCCAGCAUCCCGCAUCCCAGUGCUGACCUGCCCCACAGCACCACGUAUCCCACAAGGCACAGCACCGUCUGUCCCACGCCAUCCCCCAUCCCUGUCUGUCCCACAGCAUCCUGCAGCCCCCUACAUCCCACCGCAUCCCGCAUCCCACCGCCUUCUGCACGCCACAGCAUCCUGCAUCCCACAGCCUCCCGCAUCCUGUGGCACUGUGGAUCCCGCAGCAUCCUGUAUCCCAUUGCCAAGGAUCCCGCAACAUCCCACAUCCCAGUGCCAUGGACCCCCCAGCAUCCCGCAUCCCAGUGCUGUGGAUCCCACAGCAUCCCAUAUCCCAGUGCCAUGGACACCUCAGCAUCCUGUAUCCCACAAUUCCAUGGACCCCUUAAAAUCCUGCAUCCCAGUGCCAUGUAUCCCCCAGCAUCCCAUAUCCCAGUGCCAUGGACCCCUCAGCAUCAUGCAUCCCAGCGCUAAGGAUCCGGCAGCAUCCCACAUCCCACAGUGCCAUGGACCCCCUAGAAUCCUGCAUCCCAGUGCCCAGGACGCCCUCAGCAUCCCCAUAUCCCACUGCCAUGGACACCUCAACAUCCUGUAUCCCAGUGCCAAGGAUCCCACAGCAUCCCGUAUCCCUUGCCACCAUGGACCCCGCAGCGUCCCGCAUCCCAGUUCCAUGGACCCCCUAGAAUCCUGCAUCCCAGUGCCCAGGACGCCCUCAGCAUCCCCAUAUCCCACUGCCAUGGACACCUCAACAUCCUGUAUCCCAGUGCCAAGGAUCCGGCAGCGUCCCACAUCCCACAGUGCCAUGGAUCCCCUAGAAUCUUGCAUCCCAGUACCACGGACACCCCAGCAUCCCAUAUCCCAGUGCCGUGGACACCCCAGCAUCCUGUAUCACAGUGCUGUGGACCCCACAGCAUCCCAUAUCCCAGUACCAUGGAUCCCGCAGCAUCCUGUAUCCCAGUAUCAUGGACCCCCCAGCAUCCCGCAUCCCAGUGCUGUGGAUCCCACAGCAUCCUGUAUCCCAGUGCCAAGGAUCCCGCAGCAUCCUGCAUCCCACAGUGCCAUGGACCCCCUAGAAUCCUGCAUCCCAGUGCCAUGGACACCCCAGCAUCCCAUAUCCCAGUGCCGUGGACACCCCAGCAUCCUGUAUCACAGUGCUGUGGACCCCACAGCAUCCCAUAUCCCAGUACCAUGUACCCCCCAGCAUCCUGUAUCCCUUGCCAUCAUGGACCCCCCAGCAUCCCAGUGCCGUGGACCCCCCAGUAUCCUGCAUCCCAGUACCAUGUACCCCUCAGCAUCCCAUAUCCCAGUGCCAUGGACCCCCCAGCAUCCUGUAUCCCAGUGCCAAGAAUCUGGCAGCAUCCCACAUCCCACAGUGCCAUGGACCCCCCAAUAUCCUGCAUCCCAGUGCCCAGGACCCCCCCAGCACCCCAUAUCCCAGUUCCCAGUACCAUGGACCCCCCCAGAAUCCCGCAUCCCAGUGCCCA
This 1864-nucleotide long non-coding RNA is filed under the name Calidris pugnax (ruff). Its description in RNAcentral is "lncRNA (ENSCPUG00000015638.1)". Lineage: Eukaryota; Metazoa; Chordata; Aves; Charadriiformes; Scolopacidae. The record is from RNAcentral.